CCGAGUUUACAACUCCCAAACCCCUGUGAACAUACCUUAAUGUUGCCUCGGCGGAUCAGCCCGCUCCCGGUAAAACGGGACGGCCCGCCGCAGGAACCCUAAACUCUGUUUUUAUAUGUAACUUCUGAGUAUAAAAACAAAUAAAUCA
This 148-nucleotide unclassified non-coding RNA is filed under the name soil metagenome. RNAcentral describes it as "partial internal transcribed spacer 1". The record is from RNAcentral.